GUGGGGAAUAUUGGGCAAUGGGCGAAAGCCUGACCCAGCAACGCCGCGUGAAGGAAGAAGGCUUUCGGGUUGUAAACUUCUUUUGUCAGGGACGAAAAAAAUGACGGUACCUGACGAAUAAGCCACGGCUAACUACGUGCCAGCAGCCGCGGUAAUACGUAGGUGGCAAGCGUUAUCCGGAUUUACUGGGUGUAAAGGGCGUGUAGGCGGGAAAGCAAGUCAGAUGUGAAAACUAUGGGCUCAACCCAUAGCCUGCAUUUGAAACUGUUUUUUUUGAGUACUGGAGAGGCAGAUGGAAUUCCUAGUGUAGCGGUGAAAUGCGUAGAUAUUAGGAGGAACACCAGUGGCGAAGGCGAUCUGCUGGACAGCAACUGACGCUGAGGCGCGAAAGCGUGGGGAGCAAACAGGAUUAGAUACCCCUGUAGUCC
This 428-nucleotide ribosomal RNA is filed under the name uncultured bacterium. RNAcentral describes it as "partial 16S ribosomal RNA". It matches the Rfam family "Bacterial small subunit ribosomal RNA", at positions 354 to 796 of the family's 1533-position model. The record is from RNAcentral.